This is a long non-coding RNA of Artibeus jamaicensis (Jamaican fruit-eating bat), 952 nucleotides long. RefSeq lists it as uncharacterized. The transcript is spliced from 3 exons. Lineage: Eukaryota; Metazoa; Chordata; Mammalia; Chiroptera; Phyllostomidae. The record is from RefSeq and is a predicted model, not a curated record.
UCCAAGAUGCCGCGAACCUGGGGAACUGGGUGAAGAGACGCACCAGGAGACCAUAGCUCAGCAAGUAUGUCUCUUUGCUGCACUAAUUCUUGCCCAGAAGUAGCAGGGCCUCAGCUUGCUAUGCGGCUGCCAACAGUCUUUGGCUUUGAGAGAUAAAGAGCACAUUUAAUGCUUAGAUCCCCACCGUGCCCCCUCCCGCCCUCUCCCCCUCACCACACGAAACACCGCCACCAAGAAGACCCGCUUCCUGGGUGUCUCAAGGCCCAGCACUGUUCCCCUGUGGAGCCAGGCCAGGACUAGCCGUGCACUCCCCUGCCCGUAUGGGAGGUGACAAACUCUUGGUGACUUCACUCCCGCUCAUCCAGGAACAGAGAUUCUUUCCUUGAACUGUAAAUACCCUUAGCUGGGCCACGUCCUGAAGGAUGGCUGUUUGCACUUUCUGCCCCGGCAGAGAAGUGGAAGCCAGGAGAGCACAGAGCACCAGAAGGGCUCCCAGGCCCCGUGUACACGCCCACCUGUCGUGGCCCCUUGGCGUCUCCCAAAUGCCCGCCCCCUGCACCAGGCUCUGAGUUUCUGGGGGACGGGCUUUGUGUGUCUCCCUGUCUUAACACCUGUCACUGUGUCAGCACACGGCAGGUCCCACAAACAUGCAUAUUGGCAAUAAAUGGCUAAAAAAGUGCCUUUUACUCUUAACAGACUCGGUGCCAUAAAAACCAGGGCCCUGGGGACUGGUAGGCAAAUCAUGGCCUAUCCAACAAUGGAGUACCACACAGUUGUGCAAAAGAGUGAGGCAUGGUGUAGCUCAGUGGAUUGAGCACGGGCCUGUGAAGCAAAGGGUGGCUGGUUUGAUUCCCAGUCAGGGCACAUGCCUGGGUUUCAGGCCAGUUCCCAACAGGGGACACAUGAGAGGCAACCACACAUUGAUGUUUCUCUCCCACUCUUUCUCCUUCCC